Molecule: ribosomal RNA, 253 nt
Filed under: uncultured bacterium
Lineage: Bacteria
Description: partial 16S ribosomal RNA
Rfam family: Bacterial small subunit ribosomal RNA
Source: RNAcentral
UACGGAGGGUGCAAGCGUUACUCGGAAUUACUGGGCGUAAAGCGUGCGUAGGUGGUGAGUUAAGUCUGUCGUGAAAGCCCCGGGCUCAACCUGGGAAUGGCGAUGGAUACUGGCUCGCUAGAGUGCGGUAGAGGAGAGUGGAAUUCCCGGUGUAGCAGUGAAAUGCGUAGAGAUCGGGAGGAACAUCAGUUGCGAAGGCGGCUCUCUGGACCAGCACUGACACUGAGGCACGAAAGCGUGGGGAGCAAACAGG